UCAAAAGAACUGCAAUAACUGUUCUCUUCUCUUUGCUGAUUUUAGGCUCUCCAGACCCCUCCUCUCUGUCAGUGAGGAGGGGGAAGAGCUGUCUGCCUCCUGCUCUGUGUCUCACUCCUGUCCAUCUGAUCCCCCUCUCCUCACCUGGAGCAACUCCGGAACACCCAGCAUCCAAUCACAGCAACUGACCGACAGCCAGUAGGAAGUGACGUCAUCCCUGACCUUUACCCCCAGCAGCACUGAUCACAACCACUCUCUGGUCUGCACAGCAGCAUACAGGGGAGGGAAGACAGUGAAAAGGUUGAAAACUCUCAGUGGCAAAUGCUGAAGAGGAUGGCAACCCAUUCGAGUGUGAGGUUGGAGAUGAUUCAGUCUAUGGCAACAUGUGAACACAACUGGAAGCAUGUGGAAGUCAGCUGGCUCAGAGCCCAUGGUACUCAGUCUGUCAAAGGUUUCAGUAAAAUAUUAUGUAGCAGAACUGGUGACUGCUUAUAUUUGUUAACUUGAUGUAGCUUUAUGGUUCUUAUGGCUAAUGAAUAUGGUGCAUUCUUAUUUGGGCUGUGGCGUUUAUGUUACGGCUUUUACAAGGCGUUUGUUUAUCUGUAGCUUGGUUGAUUCAGAAGGAUUUUUACUAAAUGUAAAAUACAACCAGUAUUUAACAAUAGCUUGUUUCACCCUUC
Molecule: long non-coding RNA, 680 nt
Organism: Oncorhynchus nerka (sockeye salmon)
Lineage: Eukaryota; Metazoa; Chordata; Actinopteri; Salmoniformes; Salmonidae
Exons: 2
Source: RefSeq, a predicted model, not a curated record